AGAAUAUCAGCAAGUCCAGGGACGACAUUGUGAAAAGACUGAAAGGAACAAACAAACAAUGUCUAAAGAUUGUAAAUAUGCCAUUAUGGAGUUCCAGAAGAGUUCUUACCUCCACACUGUGGGAAAAAGCCCUUAAACCCGGUUCUCCAGAUGCAGCAGCUUCUCUACACCCUGAGCUUCGUGUCUCGUACUGAACUACCAAGUCAGAUCUCCAGAGCCCCGACCACCGGCACAGAGCAGCUCCGCCCACCAUUGGGCGACAGGAACGCCCCCCUUUGCUAUCAUCACAACCUCAUUAUUCCAGUUGGGCUGAAGGAGAUGACAGCACGGACCACUUUAGAUUCCUGAAGAAAUGCCGAAGCUUGAGUGGGGAUUAAACAUAGGCUAAUGUGUGGUUGCAGAAGGUCAGUAUCUCCAGAUCUAACCUGCUGGAACAUAAACAGGCAGAAA
Pygocentrus nattereri (red-bellied piranha) is the source of this 450-nucleotide long non-coding RNA. RefSeq lists it as uncharacterized. The transcript is spliced from 3 exons. The record is from RefSeq and is a predicted model, not a curated record. Lineage: Eukaryota; Metazoa; Chordata; Actinopteri; Characiformes; Serrasalmidae.